AAUGCUACAUUUUUUAGCUUGCUUGCUUGCAUUAGUUGUCAUGGUCUGUGUUUUUAAGAUUAUAUUUAGUUUUGUUUCAUGUUUUGUCUUGUUUUCCUGUGUCCCACAUUCAUGGCUUGCCUUGCUCAUUAGGUUUGCAUUUCCACAUGUUCUCGUUAGCCCUGUUUCUUGUGCUAACCAAUCAGCUCCCUCCAGCUUCAUCUUCUCCAGGUGUGCCUCGUUGUCUCAUCAGUUAGCUUGUAUUUCAUUCCCUGGUUUCUUGCAGUCUGUGUCUGUUUAUUGAUGUUGCUGUUAGGUGUGUUAAUCUAGCCAAGUUAUAUUUCCUUUGUAUGACUCCAGCACUCCUGCUACUCUGACAUUAGUUUUGAUUUAGCUGUUACUAUUAUACUAUAAACUCCACCAAUAUUAAAGCCAAACAAAGCCUAAAAGGCAAUAAAUAUCACUUAACUAUGACAAUAUUUUUUGUUACAAUUAGUUUUUGUAGCGUAAAAAAUUAAACCUGCUAAACCAUGUUUUUCCACUUCAUUUCUAUCUUGCUUUAGCAGUUACAAGGUAUCACCUCCACCAAAAUUAAAGCCAAAAAAAUGCCGAAGCCUUUUUUUUUUUUUUUAAUUGAUUUUUGUUUUGUUUGUUUGGUUUUUUUUGACAUUCUUUCAUGUUCAAAAGUCGAGUUUUCACCUACAAGCAGUACAGUUCCAUGCGGGCACACACAGCCAGAUAGGGGCUCUCUGCAACUCAGGAGGCCGGAACCUUGCUGCUGACUUGGCGGGUCCAAACUGGAGCAUGUGAGGAGGCAGGAACGAGGAGCAUAGAUAAGAGAACCAGGGCACUUGUUGACCUCUUCACAGGGACCCUGUGUGCAGUUAAAGCGCCCCUCCUCACACACACUGCAGAUGAAAAGGGACACAUAGUAGUGGGCACACAUUGGCCUUGGUAGUCCUGUACAAGACCUGCAGGACAUUGGCAACCUGGAACACACAGCCCACCACCACCACCACUACCGUCAUCGUCGUCACCAUUACAGCUCCAGCCGUGCUGCAGGUCUGAACACUUGCGGCCGCACGCUCGACCACACUCCUGAUACACUUGACCCCCAGAACAUUGGACCGCUGGGGAGAUAGAUACAUCUGUUAAUCAUUGGCAUGACCGAGUUGAAAUAUAAAGCUGCAGUCUACUUCAAGGUCAAAACCUGUUUGGUCGCUUAUCAACCAGCGACAUAAAUGGCAAGCUUGAGCCAAGCUCCUUCCUGUGCCCUACCCCGCAGUGAAAGCCAAGCAAAACAAGAGCGGUGUGAAGGCCCCAAAAGGCUGAUUAAAAAAAUAUUAUCUGGUUCUCCAGCGGAUGGGCCUGACGGGAAAUAUCAAAAUGUUUAUGAAAUUUUCAACCCACUUAUGAUCCGAGUAGGCCCUCACUUAAUUUCAUCAUUUGACCUUAUGACUUAGCAAUAGAAGUUUUCAGAGGUAAUUAUAAUUUCUAUCAGUAGUCUACUUGUUGUUCUAUACUUACAGCAGAAAGUAUGGUUACGCCAGUGGACAGCGAUACCCUCCUGAGCACAAUGUCUGGCAUAGGCAGUGAGCACUGUGCAAUGACAGGCCUUCUGGGGUGCACAGCUGCACACCUCUGACUGACAGAGGCGAAAAUAGGGCUCCCUCUCCACUACAUCAUGACAUGCCUAAAGGAGCAGAAUGAGUGGCACUUUCUGUGAACUACAGAGAAGCAGGCAUACAGCGCAUUGGUCAUUACAGAAUGGGAGCACAUUUUCUGUCCCCCGCUCCCUCUAAG
Phyllopteryx taeniolatus (common seadragon) is the source of this 1782-nucleotide long non-coding RNA. RefSeq lists it as uncharacterized. NCBI's taxonomy places the organism in Eukaryota, Metazoa, Chordata, Actinopteri, Syngnathiformes, Syngnathidae. The transcript is spliced from 3 exons. The record is from RefSeq and is a predicted model, not a curated record.